This 466-nucleotide ribosomal RNA is filed under the name uncultured bacterium. RNAcentral describes it as "partial 16S ribosomal RNA". It matches the Rfam family "Bacterial small subunit ribosomal RNA", at positions 28 to 507 of the family's 1533-position model. The record is from RNAcentral.
GAUGAACGCUGGCGGCGUGCUUAACACAUGCAAGUCGAACGGCGAAGCCAAGCUUGCUUGGUGGAUCAGUGGCGAACGGGUGAGUAACACGUGAGCAACCUGCCCUGGACUCUGGGAUAAGCGCUGGAAACGGCGUCUAAUACUGGAUAUGAGCCUCUUCCGCAUGGUGGGGGUUGGAAAGAUUUUUUGGUCUGGGAUGGGCUCGCGGCCUAUCAGCUUGUUGGUGAGGUAAUGGCUCACCAAGGCGUCGACGGGUAGCCGGCCUGAGAGGGUGACCGGCCACACUGGGACUGAGACACGGCCCAGGCUCCUACGGGAGGCAGCAGUGGGGAAUAUUGCACAAUGGGCGAAAGCCUGAUGCAGCAACGCCGCGUGAGGGAUGACGGCCUUCGGGUUGUAAACCUCUUUUAGCAGGGAAGAAGCGAAAGUGACGGUACCUGCAGAAAAAGCGCCGGCUAACUACGUG